GAACGCGAAGAACCUUACCUACCCUUGACAUGGAAGGAAGCCUGGAGAGAUCUGGGAGUGCCCGAAAGGGAACCUUCACACAGGUGCUGCAUGGCUGUCGUCAGCUCGUGUCGUGAGAUGUUGGGUUAAGUCCCGCAACGAGCGCAACCCUUGUCAUUAGUUGCUACGCAAGAGCACUCUAAUGAGACUGCCGGUGACAAACCGGAGGAAGGUGGGGAUGACGUCAAGUCCUCAUGGCCCUUAUGGGUAGGGCUUCACACGUCAUACAAUGGUACAUACAGAGGGCCGCCAACCCGCGAGGGGGAGCUAAUCCCAGAAAGUGUAUCGUAGUCCGGAUUGUAGUCUGCAACUCGACUACAGAAGUUGAAUCGCUAGUA
This 377-nucleotide ribosomal RNA is filed under the name uncultured bacterium. Its description in RNAcentral is "bacterial SSU rRNA". It matches the Rfam family "Bacterial small subunit ribosomal RNA", at positions 957 to 1340 of the family's 1533-position model. The record is from RNAcentral.